GGUAACCCAGAUGGCAGAGUUCACUACCACAGGUGGGUGCUAAGAACAGGACAUGUGCAAGGCAAGACAGACUUUGAUUCAGUGGGUCUGGGAGACCAGCGUCCCACCCACAGGCUUGGGACACAGGGCAGAGGCUCCUGGGCCCUACUGCUGAGCUCCACCUCUAGCAUGUCACCCAGAGCACUGCUCAGCUAGUCACUGGACAUGGAUAUCACCAAAAGCCUCAGGUGAGGAGGGAGUCUAGAAAUCCUAUAUAGGGCAGGUAAUAGCAAGGGACCCUAUUUUCCAGUCUGUUGCAGAGAUCAUAUAGGAGCAAAACCACUCUUACCAGGCCUGAGCGCUUUGUUUCUAGUCUGCAAGCUUCCGUGUUAAGUGCAGGUGGCUGAAGCACUUGGGUUGGAACACCCUGUGAGUCUAAUGAUGGUCUGGUGGUAGCAACUCCCAGCACACUGGGUGUGACACGAGCCAUCUUCCCCAACCUGUGGUGUGGCACCAGCUGGAGGCAGGUGGGCAUGUUAUCAGCUCCAGCAACUAGAAGAGGUGGCUUGGGUGCACCAUCCACUGACCUGGGUCUCACUGCUGGCAAAGAGGCUGUUUGGUCCUGGUAGACAGCACACAUAUGCUGCAGGGGUGAAGCACUGCAUGGGGGAAUGGUGUCCCCUUCUGUGUUGUGGGGAGACACUCUGAAUGACCAUGCCUUCCAAUACUGAUGCACCAGGCUGACCAAUCACUGCACUCGUUGUGGCUUGGGUGUUGACCCAGCUCGGAUAGCAAGGCUGUCUUCUUUGUAGGUGUACCCCUGGGGUUGAAUUACACUCACCUGUUCCCUUGUAGCCCUGCCCCUUCUGCCCAUUUAUG
RNAcentral lists this long non-coding RNA (858 nucleotides) under Marmota monax (woodchuck). Lineage: Eukaryota; Metazoa; Chordata; Mammalia; Rodentia; Sciuridae. The record is from RNAcentral.